AGGGAAUCUUCCACAAUGGACGCAAGUCUGAUGGAGCAACGCCGCGUGAGUGAAGAAGGUCUUCGGAUCGUAAAGCUCUGUUGUUGGUGAAGAAGGAUAGAGGCAGUAACUGGUCUUUAUUUGACGGUAAUCAACCAGAAAGUCACGGCUAACUACGUGCCAGCAGCCGCGGUAAUACGUAGGUGGCAAGCGUUGUCCGGAUU
This 203-nucleotide ribosomal RNA is filed under the name uncultured bacterium. Its description in RNAcentral is "partial 16S ribosomal RNA". It matches the Rfam family "Bacterial small subunit ribosomal RNA", at positions 356 to 551 of the family's 1533-position model. The record is from RNAcentral.